AUACAGAGGGUGCAAGCGUUAAUCGGAAUUACUGGGCGUAAAGCGCGCGUAGGCGGCUUUGUAAGUCGGAUGUGAAAGCCCUGGGCUCAACCUGGGAAUGGCAUUCGAUACUGCAUAACUAGAGUAUGGUAGAGGGAAGUGGAAUUUCCGGUGUAGCGGUGAAAUGCGUAGAUAUCGGAAGGAACACCAGUGGCGAAGGCGACUUCCUGGGCCAAUACUGACGCUGAGGUGCGAAAGCGUGGGGAGCAAACAGGAUUAGAAACCCCGGUAGUCC
Molecule: ribosomal RNA, 274 nt
Filed under: uncultured bacterium
Lineage: Bacteria
Description: partial 16S ribosomal RNA
Rfam family: Bacterial small subunit ribosomal RNA
Source: RNAcentral